CACGUAGGGGGCGAGCGUUGUUCGGAAUCAUUGGGCGUAAAGGGCGCGCAGGCGGCCCGGUAAGUCUGGUGUAAAAUGGUCGUGCUCAACACGAUCAUGCGCUGGAAACCGUCGGGCUAGAGUCAACGAGGGGAUACCAGAAUUCCAGGUGUAGGGGUGAAAUCUGUAGAUAUCUGGAAGAACACCGAUGGCGAAGGCAGGCAUCUGGCGACUGACUGACGCUGAGGCGCGAAGGUGCGGGGAGCAAACA
This 250-nucleotide ribosomal RNA is filed under the name uncultured prokaryote. RNAcentral describes it as "partial 16S ribosomal RNA". It matches the Rfam family "Bacterial small subunit ribosomal RNA", at positions 524 to 774 of the family's 1533-position model. The record is from RNAcentral.